CCAUGUGCACGUCGUGGGAGUCCAGGUGUUGCCUUGAGGCUGAUUUGGGCCAUUUGAUCGAGGGUGAGACGUGUAUCACCAUGUCUCGGAUGUUCAGCAUCUUGUGCCUUGAAAAAGACGUAUUGGAAGUGGCAAUGCUGUCACUACGAGAGGUACGAGGGGAGCCACUGAAGCGGCCCAUCAACAGCAGUCUGUACAGGUUAAUGGCAUACAGGCAGUUCACUCUCUGGGCAAGAGGACACCUGGGGAGGAGAAACAGGAUGCCAAUACCAGCCUGCGUUGUAACCACCAUACGGCACCUAUACCCAUCGCCACAAUAUCAUGGAUUUGAAUACUCUUUUUAAAUCAAAUAAUAACUAUAUUAUAUAUCCAA
Engraulis encrasicolus (European anchovy) is the source of this 373-nucleotide long non-coding RNA. RefSeq lists it as uncharacterized. The record is from RefSeq and is a predicted model, not a curated record. The transcript has 2 exons. NCBI's taxonomy places the organism in Eukaryota, Metazoa, Chordata, Actinopteri, Clupeiformes, Engraulidae.